Podarcis lilfordi (Lilford's wall lizard) is the source of this 5534-nucleotide non-coding RNA. The record is from the annotation of a GenBank genome assembly. NCBI's taxonomy places the organism in Eukaryota, Metazoa, Chordata, Lepidosauria, Squamata, Lacertidae.
CAUUUCCCAUAGUUCUAGCUGUGUGCUUUGUAAGAAGUAUUUCCUUUUGUCUGUCCCAAGUCUUUAAGCAUUCAUUGGAUGACCGUGGCUUCAAUUAUAGGAGAGCGUUCAAAACUUCUUUCUUUCCACUGUCUUAGCAACAUGCAUAGUUUUAUAGCUUCUAUUUCAUCCUCCCCCUCCCUUACACACCAUUUUUUUCCUAAACCAUAAAAGCUCCAAGCUUCAUAUCCCCAUAAACGAAUUUCUCCAACAACUUGAUCUUGUUGGUUGAAAAUGAAAAUGAAUAUAAACCCACCACAAUAUAAUCUUAUUGGGCCAGUUCUGUUCUGGUGCCUAGACAAUCUAAUGGGAUGGUCUACCCCAUGGGUAGGCAAACGAAGGCCCGGGGGCCGUAUGCGGCCCAAUCACCUUCUAAAUCCAGCCCACGGACGGUCUGGGAAUCAGCGUGUUUUUGCAUGAGUAGAAUGUGUCCUUUUAUUUAAAAUGUAUCUCUGGGUUAUUUGUGGGGCAUAGGAAUUCAUUCAUUUAUUUAUUUUUUCCAAAAUAUAGUCUGGCCCCCACAAGGUCUGAGGGACAGUGGACUGGCUUCCCUGCUGAAAAAGUUUGCUGACCCCCUGGUCUACCCAGUCUGUGAGGUUGUAGAAAUUGACAUAUAAAUGUAAUUGUGAUUAUGCAGAACACCAUGCGUGCAAGUUACAGGAGUGAGGAGGCAGAGUCGAAAAAGAGCUUAACAAGUUGGAGCCCAUAAAUAAGAGACAAAUAGUGGAGCUAGAUGACAUCAUAUUGGCUGGCUUGAAAAAUUAGAUGAGAAGCAACUUUCAAAACAGUAAAGAAGAACAAACAUAUAGCAAUAAUCUUAGCAAGGUAGGAUGAUAAACUGCAAUAUAUAGGCAGUAUUUAAACUGUAUGAGAAUCCUGCACAAUUCUGUUCAAUGACAUGUCUGUCCUCUACAUAUUUAUUUUGGGUCAGUAUAAAUUACCAGUUCCUAGUUUAUCUCUUCAAAGCUGUAUGUCAUCCCCAUGUGUUGGGUUUUGUUUCUUUUUAAAGAACUCUUAGUCUUUACCCUGAAGUUGCCUGGAACUGAAUAACAUUCUUAUCCCCGGAGAGGAAGAUGUCUCAAGGUUGCAGUUGAUGUGCACUGGCAAAGUAUCACGAGGGACUCUCCAUUGUAAGAAUAAAUAAGGGGCUUCCAUUUAACAAGAGGAGUUGGGAAGCAGGAAUGAUCUGGUUCUGCAGUGGUUUGGGUGGGGAAUUGUUCAAGGUAUGAACAAGUGGCAAGAAUAUACUUAGUUAAUUAUUUGCUUUGGGCUUCAGGUGGAUAGUUCUGUAGGAGGAAAACAUGCAGCAAUUUCUGAAGUCUGCUUAUCUUCUGCUUGUAGCAGGAUAUGAAUUCUGAGGAAUUGAAUUGACAAGGAGGCAAGAAAUGCUAAGGCGUUGGAACACUUACUUUCAAAGCCGCUGAAGUUUAAUACUACAAUGCACACACAACAGAAAUGACAAAGGCUUCCUGUAUCUGGUGUUAGCAUUUCAGUAUGAUCAGGGUUGACGAAAAGCAAGGUAAAAAAUAAAAUAAAAUCCAUGCCACAAUGGUCUAAAUUCCACAUCAAAGAGGAGAAGCUGUCUUCUGCAAACUCUGUUGCUGAUGAAACUUCGGCGUAUUUUCAUGAUUCAUCUAAUUUUGUGUAAUUUGGUUUCCCAAACUUAACGCAGAAAUGCAGAGUGGGAGAGAGUAAAUGACAUGUUCAAAGAUGGGGAGGUAUGGCAGUCUGAAAAAAGGCCAUGUUGCACAGAAAAACAAGCAAACUGUGACAUUUCAACAUUAUGCACAUUGAAUCUGCAUAUUUUGGGUUAUUUUACGUAAUUUAUUUCGCACCAGAUAGUGAUGGGAGAAGGCAAUAAAUUGUUACUGAAUUGUUAAGGCUAGGCUGACACUUUGGGCCACUUUGAUAUAACAAUCUUGCUUUAAUAUACUAUAGUUUAUUAAACAGAGAAUGAAAGCCAUGCCUGUGCCUCUUUCACCUCCCUCCGUUUGACACUUCUAUCCUGGUUUGUUUAAGCCGGUUUUCUCUGACAUCCAGACCAGGAAACUAGUUUAAUCUCAGAUUACUAACCAAGAUACGAAGCUAGGCUCAGAAAGCUGGUUGCCAAAAGAAACUUUAUGGCAAGCAAAUGCAAGUUCCCCUUCCCAACAGAGUAUGCAUUCCAGCCCUGCCAGGUCCCAACAAGGAGCUGAAGAUGCUCCAGACCCUCAGAUAGGAAAGUGAUGGAGAUGACAGCUAAUGGAAGGGGAAAGGGUGCGAGAAAGUCUAUUGAAGAAGAAGCACCACUUCCUCUCAUCUUCCUGACAUCUGGAAACAGUACUUUGUUUCUUCCACAAUCUAAGGUGGUAGCACAACAACUACAUUUUCAUGAAUGUCCCUCCUUUGUCUGCUUUAUGCUUAAGUUUCCUUCAGGAUCAGUUCUCAGGUAGCACUGGACAUCUACUGAUCUUCCUUUGCACACCCUUCUCUUAAAGGCACAGACACAAUUUGCCACGUAUCGUCCGCUUGUGAGGUGUAGCACAUAGUUCAGGCCUGGUGUUGAUGUCAGAACAGUGUUCUUCUCUACCUUGUUUUUCUUCAGGAAGUUCAAGAAGUUCAUAAUGUGCAGAACUGAAGGACCCAAAGAGGAGGCCCUCAGCCAUCAAAUCCAGACCAUUCAAAAUUAUUUGUUUAAAUCCAGCUAUUAGUCAAUUAACCAUGAAAGCUAUGUGGGCUUGUUAUAAGCUGUUUUGACUUGCAAUCUCAACAAGCAUACUUAAAAAAAAUAAAAAAAAACUUUUUAAAAGGCAAUGUUAAUUAGGACUCUGGUCUUUGAGGUGCUGAAUCUCCCAUAAUUUGACUUCCUAAUCAUUCCAUAAAAGAGGUGACGCUUACCUAAAAAUACAUUUUUUUUAUCCUGUUGUUUAGGGCUUACACAGAUUCUAAGCUUCAGGAGCCAUAGUGUAUGGCAAAUUCACCACUUGCUGAGCAGCAUACGUCUUAAGAGGUUCUAUUGAACUCCAGCUGGAUUUUCUAUGCACUGUGGAUUUUCAUUUUGCCUUUUAAUUUUUUACUUUAAUGAAUUACUUUUAACAAAAGAACAAAGUAACAACCAAGCUUUUAAAAGAAUAGAAAUGUGUGGACCUUAAGAGAGAGAAAUUAAAUUGACUUCAGGAAAACUAAUUAAAAACUUGAGAAAAUUCCAUUCAAAAUGGCUGGCCUGCAUGUUAAGGAACAUAGGAAGCUGCCUUAUACAGUUGGUCAAUCUAACUCAGUAUUGUCGACACUGGCUGGCAGCAGCUCUUUGAGAUUUCAGAGCGGGUAUUUCCCAGCCGUGCCUGCAGAUGCUGGGACUGAACCUGGUAUAAACAAAACCACUCACAGUAUCAACAAAACCACAACAUCAUCCAUUGUUGUUUAGUCAUUUAGUCGUGUCCGACUCUUCAUGACUACCCCAUGGACCAGAGCACGCCAGGCACUCCUAUCUUCCACUGCCUCCCGCAGUUUGGUCAGACUCAUGCUGGUAGCUUCGAGAACAGUGUCCAACCAUCUCAUCCUCUGUCAUCCCCUUCUCCUUGUGCCCUCCAUCUUUCCCAACAUCAGGGUCUUUUCCAGGGAGUCUUCUCAUGAGGUGGCCAAAGUAUUGGAGCCUCAUCUUAACGAUCUGUCCUUCCAGUGAGCACUCAGGGCUGAUUUCCUUAAGAAUGGAGAGGUUUGAUCUUCUUGCAGUCCAUGGACUCUCAACAGUCUCCUCCAGCACCAUAAUUCAAAAGCAUCCAUUCUUCGGCGAUCAGCCUUCUUUAUGGUCCGGCUUUCACUUCCAUACAUCACUACUGGGAAAACCAUAGCUUUUACUAUACGGACCUUCGUUGGCAAGGUGAUGUCUCUACUUUUUAAGAUGCUGUCUUUUAAUCAUCCAUUAAAAUUAAUCUAAAAACUAACAAGGCAGAAGAGAAUAAAAACAGCAGCAGUGACAUUCAGAGCAUCACCAUCACCAUCAUAAUUUAUUAUUUAUACCCCGCCCAUCUGGCUGGGCUUCCUCAGCCACUCUGCGCAGCUCCCAACAGAACACUAAAACAGAAUAAAACUUCAAACAUUAAAAACUUCCUUAAACAGGGCUGCCUUCAGAUGUCUUCUAAAAGUCAGUUGUUUAUCUCCUUGACAUCUGAAGGGAGGGCGUUCCACAGGGUGGGCGCCACUACCGAAAAGGCCCUCUGCCUAGUUCCCUGUAACCUCGCUUCCCGCAGUGAGGGAACCACCAGAAGGCCCUUGGAGCUGGACCUCAGUGUCUGGGCUGAAUGAUGAGGGUGGAGACGCUCCUUCAGGUAUACUGGGCCGAGGUCAUUUAGGGCUUUGAAGGUAAGCACUAGCACUUUGAGUUGUGCUUGGAAACGUACUGGGAGCAUCCCGAAAAGCCUCUUGUCUUUGCCAGACAGCAAGUGGCAGUGAAUCCAGCUGGAGUUCUCUCAAUCUCUCUGUUACUUUCUUGGGAGGCUUUUCCUGGAGUAUGUACGCAUUGGGUAGGAAGCACGGUAAACUUAUGAGUUGAAUUUGUGGCCUCUGGGGUGGUGGUGGAAUUGCCUCUUGAUAACCAUAUUGUUGUGGUUUGAUCAGUUCCUCAGUACUCCUGUAAAUAUUAAUACUGCGACUUCCCAGGGCAGAUCAGGUGGUAGUUUUGCCAAGAAGGAAGUAAUUUCAGCCCAAAACACAAAUUAAUCAUUUCUUACUAAAGCCACAGCUAUCCAGUAGCUGGUUUGGUGUCACCUGAAUCUGUUCCUUACAGCAAAUGUGCUUGUUAUAUCAUUGUUCAUAUACCUGGGAUGAAAGGUGAAUGACAGCAAAUGUGAAACUUUUUCCUGAACUUGGGUGUCCUCCUGUUCUUUAUUUGGAAUGAGAGUCUCUGCUCAAAGAUACAGAAAAAUCUCUGCCUCCUGCUGUUACUGUGAAGAAACCCAAAGCACGAACCUCACCGUCUAAAGUGUUUUGCUAGAUUUCACAAUCUUCCUGUUAUAGUAAAUGGAAAACGAGUAAAAGCAGGAAUCGGCACUGUAUUGUGUGACAGUCCGUAAUUAGUCAUUUUGCAUUGCAAAAAUGAUUAUUAGCACUUCAGUUCAUUAUCAAAGCAAAUUUAAUUUUUAUAUGUAGAGGGAGCUGACUGUAUUUAAAAAGGAAGUUUUGUUUGUAUAGCCUGAAAAAAUUAAUUCCUGACAAAUGUGAAGGAAAUUGAUAGAUUUUAACCAGGAAUAUAUUUGUGUAUGCCUAAUUGUCCUUUUUGAAAAUAUCUGCUCUACAUGCCAGCAUAGAUCUCUAUUACAAAUGAGUAAUUUAAAUUAUGGUGUUUGGGGUUGGGGUUUUUUUUUAAGCUACCUGAUCCCAUAUUAUAGCCCAUUAAAUUCAACAUGGUUUACAUACAUGUUUAGUAUGAAUAGGAUUGAACCCAGUGUAUUUCAAAAUGUAAGUUAAUUUAACAAAGGGAAGCAUCAAUCACUUAUAUCAAAACUGUUAUCCUGGUC